RNAcentral lists this long non-coding RNA (811 nucleotides) under Rattus norvegicus (Norway rat). RNAcentral's name for it is "long non-coding RNA NONRATT015984". The record is from RNAcentral. Lineage: Eukaryota; Metazoa; Chordata; Mammalia; Rodentia; Muridae.
GAAGCAGUUCAUCACCUAGGAACUGGUUGACAGAAGGGUAUGGAAGCGCAAAUCUGCAUCUUAACUGUGAGGGAAUCUUUGGCUUCUGACACCUUUGCUGGGUGCCCAACUCAGCUCAGCCACAGCCUGGUCCCAGGGUCCUCUCCUCUCCUGAGAGUCCAUCCCAUGAGCAUGUCCUCACGCACCUACACUCUGCUCUCUUCCUCAUAGUCAGAUACACAAAGGACAUAGUGAUGGGUGAUCCUAUUUGACCACAGAAUACCAAGAAAUCUGGCAGAGCGUCAUUUACUUCCCACACUUCUGCUGACAGGGAGACAUGGCCGGUCUGGUAUUUGAUGACUACGCGGAAGGGUCUCUCCAGAGUCGGGUGGUGCAGAAUUAGGAGAAAGAAGCUGCUUUCUACAGAAACACCCGAUCUGCCCCGUCCUGUAUGGGACGAAAACUCAGAGGAAAGGAAAUUCACUUUGUUUUACAUCAGAAGUAGUCUCUUCCUGCCUGUGGAUGUCAGACCUUCUGGCUCUUGUUUUGGGCUUCAUGACUCACACCAAUCAACACCUGAAUCCCAAGGUCUGUGCUUUUCUGACUGCUUUCUUGUCCUGAGGUGUUAGGACUUGAACUAAGCCUUGCUGUUACAGAAUCUUCUUAACCCCGUGUGAAAUGUGGCAGUGCUUGUCCCCUCAGAAAUCAGACCAUGGAUCUCAUUAGAUAACCAAAUUUCCACUGGCCUUGACUUUGGGCUCCUGGCUAGCCUCUGGAAUUGUAUUGGGGGAGGGGGGAAUCUAUUCUUUGCAAAUAAAUCACCAAAACUUGG